CGGAUAUUGGGCGUAAGCGCGCGCAGGUGGUUUCUUAAGUCUGAUGUGAAAGCCCACGGCUCAACCGGGGAGGGGCAUUGGAAACUGGGAAACUUGAGUGCGGAAGAGGAAGGUGGAAUUCCCUGUGUAGCGGUGAAAUGCGUAGAGAUAUGGAGGAACACCAGUGGCGAAGGCGACUUUCUGGUCUGUAACUGACACUGAGGCGCGAAAGCGUGGGGAGCAAACAGGAUUAGAUACCCUGGUAGUCCACGCCGUAAACGAUGACUGCUAACCGUUGGAAGGCUUCCGCCCUUUAGGGCUGAACUUAACGCAUUAAUCUCUCCGCCCUGGGGAGUACGGCCGCAGGGCUGAACCUCAAUGGAUUUGACGGGGGCC
Molecule: ribosomal RNA, 375 nt
Filed under: Bacillus cereus
Lineage: Bacteria; Bacillati; Bacillota; Bacilli; Caryophanales; Bacillaceae
Description: bacterial SSU rRNA
Rfam family: Bacterial small subunit ribosomal RNA
Source: RNAcentral